Molecule: ribosomal RNA, 465 nt
Filed under: uncultured bacterium
Lineage: Bacteria
Description: partial 16S ribosomal RNA
Rfam family: Bacterial small subunit ribosomal RNA
Source: RNAcentral
GACGAACGCUGGCGGCGUGCUUAACACAUGCAAGUCGAACGGAAAGGCCCCUUUGGGGGUACUCGAGUGGCGCACGGGUGCGUAACACGUGAGUAACCUGCCCUUGACUUCGGGAUAACUUCAGGAAACUGGGGCUAAUACCGGAUAGGAAUCCUUGCUGCAUGGUGGGGGUUGGAAAGCUUCGGCGGUUUUGGAUGGACUCGCGGCUUAUCAGCUUGUUGGUGGGGUAGUGGCUUACCAAGGCUUUGACGGGUAGCCGGCCUGAGAGGGCGACCGGCCACAUUGGGACUGAGAUACGGCCCAGACUCCUACGGGAGGCAGCAGUGGGGAAUAUUGCACAAUGGGCGGAAGCCUGAUGCAGCAACGCCGCGUGCGGGAUGACGGCCUUCGGGUUGGAAACCGCUUUCAGCAGGGGCGAAGCUUGUGGUGACGGUACCUGCAGAAGAAGCACCGGCUAACUACGUG